Molecule: ribosomal RNA, 253 nt
Filed under: uncultured bacterium
Lineage: Bacteria
Description: partial 16S ribosomal RNA
Rfam family: Bacterial small subunit ribosomal RNA
Source: RNAcentral
UACGGGGGGGGCAAGCGUUGUUCGGAAUUACUGGGCGUAAAGGGCUCGUAGGCGGCCAACUAAGUCCGACGUGAAAUCCCAAGGCUUAACCUUGGAACUGCGUCGGAUACUGGAUGGCUUGAAUUCGGGAGAGGGAUGCAGAAUUCCAGGUGUAGCGGUGAAAUGCGUAGAUAUCUGGAGGAACACCGGUGGCGAAGGCGGCAUCCUGGACCGGUAUUGACGCUGAGGCGCGAAAGCCAGGGGAGCAAACGGG